GCCUUCUGUCUAGGUGGUGUUGGAUAGGGGCGGUUUCGGCGUUGCUCGCAAUCUUCGUGUCCGUGGCUUCGGGCUGACCACUUACAUCGGUGGCUGGAACGUUGCUCGAAGUAGUGGGCCUUUCUUCUGGUCCUCCUGUUUUUGGUGCCGAAACCCGGGAAUUAACGGCCGGAUCAUGCCUACUACGAGUCAGGAAGGUGCCGACCGCCUGAAGCGAAAGAAGACUACUCUGCGAGCCGCCGCAAGAAAGACCAUCAACGAAAUUGGCGUCCUGCUGGCCACGGAUCUAACCGACAUCGGGCAGUGGCUCCGGACAAGCUCCAGUUGAUCACGGCCAACUCCCUACAACAGUGAAGCUUCCAAAUCUUGACUUUUUUUUUGCUUUUUUGAGUAAAGUAAUUACGACAGC
This is a long non-coding RNA of Ixodes scapularis (black-legged tick), 409 nucleotides long. RefSeq lists it as uncharacterized. NCBI's taxonomy places the organism in Eukaryota, Metazoa, Arthropoda, Arachnida, Ixodida, Ixodidae. The record is from RefSeq and is a predicted model, not a curated record. The transcript is spliced from 3 exons.